RNAcentral lists this ribosomal RNA (284 nucleotides) under uncultured bacterium. RNAcentral describes it as "partial 16S ribosomal RNA". The stretch from base 47 to 284 matches the Rfam family "Bacterial small subunit ribosomal RNA", at positions 100 to 339 of the family's 1533-position model. The record is from RNAcentral.
UUUAGAACAGAUUACUUCGGUUUGAAGUUCUUUAUGACUGAGUGGCGGACGGGUGAGUAACGCGUGGGUAACCUGCCUUGUACUGGGGGAUAGCAGCUGGAAACGGCUGGUAAUACCGCAUAAGCGCACAAUGUUGCAUGACAUGGUGUGAAAAACUCCGGUGGUAUGAGAUGGACCCGCGUCUGAUUAGCUUGUUGGCGGGGUAACGGCCCACCAAACCUUCGAUGGAUAGGGGUUCUGAGAGGAAGGUCCCCACAUUGGAACUGAGACACGGUCCAAACUCC